GACGAACGCUGGCGGCGUGCUUAACACAUGCAAGUCGAACGGGAACCGGCCUCUCGGGUGUGGCGCGAGUGGCGAACGGGUGAGUAACACGUGAGUAACCUGCCCCCUACUUUGGGAUAACGUCGGGAAAUCGGCGCUAAUACUGGAUAUUCUUGCUGCAUCGCAUGGUGUGGUUUGGGUAGGGUUUCUGGAGGGGGAUGGGCCCGCGGGCUAUCAGCUUGUUGGUGGGGUGACGGCCUACCAAGGCUUUGACGGGUAGCCGGCCUGGGAGGGUGUCCGGCGACACUGGGACGGAGAAACGGGCCAGACUCCUACGGCAGGCAGCAGUGGGGAAUAGCGGUGGAGGGGCGUAAGCAAGAUGCAGCGGCGCGAUGCGAGGGAGGCCGGUCGGGGGGUAGUGAACCUCGUUCAGUAUGGAACAAGGAUCGUUAUGUAGCGGGGUUUGAGGGUACGUACAGAAGAAGCGCCGGCUAACUACGUG
This 481-nucleotide ribosomal RNA is filed under the name uncultured bacterium. RNAcentral describes it as "partial 16S ribosomal RNA". It matches the Rfam family "Bacterial small subunit ribosomal RNA", at positions 28 to 507 of the family's 1533-position model. The record is from RNAcentral.